CCUACGGGAGGCAGCAGUGAGGAAUAUUGGUCAAUGGACGAAAGUCUGAACCAGCCAAGUAGCGUGAAGGAUGACUGCCCUAUGGGUUGUAAACUUCUUUUAUAUGGGAAUAAAAUGUUCCACGUGUGGGAUUUUGUAUGUACCUUAUGAAUAAGGAUCGGCUAACUCCGUGCCAGCAGCCGCGGUAAUACGGAGUAUCCGAGCGUUAUCCGGAUUUAUUGGGUUUAAAGGGAGCGUAGGUGGAUUGUUAAGUCAGUUGUGAAAGUUUGCGGCUCAACCGUAAAAUUGCAGUUGAAACUGGCAGUCUGGAGUACAGUAGAGGUAGGCGGAAUUCGUGGUGUAGCGGUGAAAUGCUUAGAUAUCACGAAGAACUCCGAUUGCGAAGGCAGUUCACUGGACUGCAACUGACACUGAGGCGCGAAAGUGUGGGUAUCAAACAGGAUUAGACACCCGUGUAGUC
This 460-nucleotide ribosomal RNA is filed under the name uncultured bacterium. RNAcentral describes it as "partial 16S ribosomal RNA". It matches the Rfam family "Bacterial small subunit ribosomal RNA", at positions 338 to 795 of the family's 1533-position model. The record is from RNAcentral.